Athalia rosae (coleseed sawfly) is the source of this 378-nucleotide long non-coding RNA. RefSeq lists it as uncharacterized. The record is from RefSeq and is a predicted model, not a curated record. The transcript has 3 exons. Lineage: Eukaryota; Metazoa; Arthropoda; Insecta; Hymenoptera; Athaliidae.
AUACAAGUAUACAACAAACAAGAUUGGAAAUUGAUUAUUGCGCCUUAAUUAAUAUGAGAACGUCUGUCCUCAAAUAGUAAUGGAUCAAAGUUAUUAGGCGUUCGGUAAAGUAUCACGAAGGGAAAAAACCCCGUUGUUUAAUUGACUGUGUGCAUGCAGUGACUCGAUGUAGAUUUCCCAAGGUGUUUCCUGCGCUCCGGAAGAUCGUACCGAUCUCAUGAAAUUCUAUGGUUCAUACGUUGUCAUGAGCAGCUUCGCACCUCGAUACGACUCUGAUGAUGGAUCUUCCAGCCAGUUGGAGGCAAACUGCCAUCGCAACAUUUUGUUCGCCUUGUUCCUGAGAAAUGCGUUGAACUUCCUGGGUGUUAUACGCGGGGG